UACGUAGGGGGCAAGCGUUAUCCGGAUUUACUGGGUGUAAAGGGAGCGUAGACGGUUAUGCAAGUCUGAUGUGAAAACCCGCGGCUCAACUGCGGGAUUGCAUUGGAAACUGUGUAACUUGAGUACUGGAGGGGCAGGCGGAAUUCCUGGUGUAGCGGUGAAAUGCGUAGAUAUCAGGAGGAACACCGGUGGCGAAGGCGGCCUGCUGGACAGUAACUGACGUUGAGGCUCGAAAGCGUGGGGAGCAAAC
This 250-nucleotide ribosomal RNA is filed under the name uncultured prokaryote. RNAcentral describes it as "partial 16S ribosomal RNA". It matches the Rfam family "Bacterial small subunit ribosomal RNA", at positions 524 to 773 of the family's 1533-position model. The record is from RNAcentral.